RNAcentral lists this small RNA (17 nucleotides) under Arabidopsis thaliana (thale cress). Its description in RNAcentral is "ATSL236290". The record is from RNAcentral. Lineage: Eukaryota; Viridiplantae; Streptophyta; Magnoliopsida; Brassicales; Brassicaceae.
CAUUCUUCUUCUUCUGC